Non-coding RNA from Rattus norvegicus (Norway rat), 9022 nucleotides. The record is from RefSeq and is a predicted model, not a curated record. NCBI's taxonomy places the organism in Eukaryota, Metazoa, Chordata, Mammalia, Rodentia, Muridae.
AGAAACAGAGCUUUCCCCAUAGCAACACCACCUGGGACGAAGUCCUCCUGGGCAUUUUCAAGGAACGGGUAAAGGAAGUGUUACAAAUCAUGGCCUUCUGGACAAUGGAAGGUAUGCCAAUCAAUAAGGAAUCACUGUACAACUCAGAGCAGAAGGUAGUUGCUAUGGCCUGUGUCCUCAAAGCCCCAUGCUGGCUACUAAUUAAGAUGUAAGGACUGUACUGCAGGACACUCGUAGGGGAAGAGUGAACAACCAGGAGGCUGGUAGAGUAGCCCAAGGUAGAGUAAGAGUAAUGGUCACUUGCCAAUGUCCAAUUUGAAGGACUUUCCCAUGAGGAUCAUAUUGUGUGAGAAAUUCAAGGUGGCACCAAGGUGCUCUUGACCCCGCACUUGUUAUUAAUUCUCUGACCGUAUGCUCAUUCAUUCAUUCAUUCAUUCUCUUUUCCACCAAAAAAAAUAAUGUCCAGGAGAACAGAUCUGUUUUGAUCUGAGCAAGUCAAUGGAAAAUGUUAUCAUUAAUGAUGGUAUCUGCACUGAUACCAGCAUCCAACUUUAUACACUGAAAAAGAGGCCAGAACUGUGUUUUAUAGCUCUGCCCCAGAGCAGCAUAGCCAUUUUCUUCUCCACAGCAGCUGUGGUUUCUUAGAAGAGACCCUCAAGGUAGGGCCUGUUGACCACUGAUGUCUACUGAUAGGAGGAGGGUGGGGAGUCACAUGGGCCUGCUGACUACUGAUAUUCACUAACAGAAGGAGCAGGUGGGGGGGUUCCAUAGAACCCCAGUUGAGGUUCUAGACACUCUUUCUGGAAUCUCCUACUUCACAUGAGUCUGCCUUAGUCAUACAUGAGCUCACUGGUUACUCAAGGUGGACUCUGGUGGAAUUGCACUGGGAUUUGUUGUGGGUGCGCUGGGUUGGGUGAGCAGGCCCGUUUGAGUCUCCGCAGGAAAGGACUCAUGCAGCAGGGUACACCAUGCCGAGCUUGCUGGGACCUGCAGCACUGAAGGGCUUCCAGCAGAGCCUUGUGCAGGGCUGGCUACUCACCCACUUGGUAUUCACCACAACAUGCUUCAUCUCAACCCCAACAGCUCACUUAGAGGCCCCACGUACACAGCCCUAGGUCCUCAAGGACAAUCUUCUCUAAGCUCUGCUGAAACUGAGGGAAAGUAAGCUAGUCUGGCCCACCUGCACCGCAUCCAUUCGGCACACACAAGGCAUAGCAGCUGGUGACCUCCCCGUUCAGGCGCCCUCUUGGCACAAGCUGCUCCUUCUGGCCUGUUUCCCUCCAGCAUUCCAGCUGAACAGCUCUCCAAAUCCUACUCCAUUAACUGCUUCCCACUUUAGGCCUUUCCAGCCAACCAAAAUUGUGGCUUUCCACAGAGGCCCUGGCCUCUUACCUCUCACAAACUCCUUGUUCAUCAGAGAAGUUUGUGGACCCUGUAAACACAGUCAAAGAUUAAAUGGUCUUUCCUGCAGAGGUGAAUGGGACUGAGUGAAGGAAGGAGUGGAGCAGCUCUUACUGCCAGCUCACUUCCGGGAUCACAGAUGCACAUGGAGAGGAGACUCAAUUUCUCCCCUUUAAAAAUAAAAUCAUAGCUAGACGAGGUGGUGUACACCAGUAAUACUAGCACUUUGGGGCUGAGGCAGGAGGAUCAUGAGUUGGGGCACAAAGCAAGACCUAUCAUGAACAAAGAAACAAUCCUGUCACAACGGCAACCAGGUAAGCCAAAACAUACAUGAACACACAGCCAGGCUCACACAUGAGCACACAUGGGACCCUCUGGUGUCUAGGACGUCAGUUAUGAGUUGGGUUAGCUAAAAGAAGGAACUCCAUGUAGCAGCUAAUGGUGGCAGCAGUAACAGAGACGGGCUUUGUGAAGUUGUGGAUCUUUGAUGUCUCCUACAUUAUGAGCUGCUAUCAAAGCAGAAAUGGCCUAAUGAAGGAGACCUGGAAGGGGAGGCUUUCCCCGGGAUUGUUGUCUUCCUUGCAAACGGUUUUUAAAGGUCACUUUAAAAAUAGCUCCUAGAGCCACAAAAGCCUGUAAAUAUUUAAAUAACACACUUCGGUUUAUUUUUACAUGGUGUUGUGAAUGCACAUCACAAAAUCCUUCACAGAAAUGUCAGCCAAAGGCUAGAGUCGGCAGAAGGAUGGGAGGAGAGCAAUAACCCAGAAGAGGGUGGGAGACUUUCCGGUCGUGGUACAGUCUGCCUGCUGGAGCGAGAAGGCCACCACGCACCUCAGGAGAGAGACCUAUCAGGAAGACAGCACCAAUGAAGCUUCGAGAAUUUACUGAAGCUAUGUCCCCAGAAAGGCUCCUAGACCUUCAGCGUGACGCUGAAAACGACAGUGUGAAGAGAACUCUGGAGAAAAUGACUGCUUUGCAGUGCCUCCUAAGUUGAGCCCUCACAAGUCCAGAUUUGCAGCUCAUGUUUACACACAGCCUGAGAGAGGAGCCCCAAGUUUCCCAAGAUGAUAGCAAGUGGAAAGUCUACUCUCAGAUGGGUCUGAUUCUCAAACUUCAAGCUCACUUCAAAGAGAAAGAGUUCAAUAGGAAACAUUUAAUAAAUAUCACGGAAUUAAAAGGGAACUGUAAGCAUGUUUCUCAUCAUACUCGGGGUGCAGGGGCUUCCUGAGUACAAGUUCCAAGGGAAAUCCAUGUGAAGAUUUAACUGCAUUAAACUGAAAACCCAACAAGAGAAGCAGACAAAGCUCCCGACACAGCUCAAGGAGGUCCCCUGUGAAGAUGACUUGCAACGCUGCAACGCAGUAACUGAGCAGAAUUCCUCAGGAAACCAAGAAGAAAAGCAAAUCCCUCAAUAGAAAAGAUAGCUCACAGGAAAUAAAGGAAUCAUGACAACUAAUAAGCAUAGAGGAUGUCAUAAAAAUCCAAAGUCUGCUUUUCUCAGUGAGAGGAGAGAUUCAGGGAGGACACGGAACCUGUAAAGUGUUCGGGCUCUUUGGCUCCUGAGUUCUACUUUACAGGAUUUAUCAUGGAGAGAAGAUCAGGACUCUAGUAAUGGGACAGAAGGUUAAACAACUCACAACGAUCUGCGUUUGUAGCCACAAUCAACACAUCACUGGACCUUCUUCAGAGAUGCUUCUCUUUGCGGUAGAAGGUGAUUAAGGUGUGGAGGUGCCGAGAGUAAGAGGCUGAAGAUGCUCAACCGGAAAUGGAACACAGAGCAGGCAGCUGCUCUUCCCAAGGCUCAGGGCUCAUGGCAGAAGAGGGAGCAGAGGGCCUGGGAGAGCCGCACAGCAGAGCAGAUGCACAGGCACACUCAGGUCACGGUAACGGCAAACUCAAGGCCACUGCAAGCCCAAGCCGCCAACCCCAGCAAGAAGGGAAGUGGCAUUAAGUAUCACAAUGGAACCAUGGGUGACUGUUAGCUUCUGGAAGAAAGAGAGCCGGUUUUCUGGGUAAAUGUAGCCCCUGGUAACUUGGCCACACUUCAGCACAUCAUGCACCCAAGAAUGUUGGAGCAUAACACAUCGGUGUUGGAUUAAAACUAGAAAACAGACAGAAGUUAGGUGCGCAAAGAAGGGACUAUGAUAAAAACAUCUGUGAAAUUUUCAGAAAGAAAGGGAGGGAGGGAGGGCAGACGGAGAGAGAGAGGAAAGAAAUCAGAUUUAAUUACUAAGAGACAACCAGACCCUCUUUACAAGGAACCACAUCUGCACUGCCCUAGUAUCCUUAACACAAAAGUUAGGAAGACCUGGGACAUGGCCCAAUGAAUGAAGUGCUUUUUCUGCAAGCCUGAAGACCAGAGUUCAGAUCUCUAACACAUACCUAGGUGCCUAGUGGGCUCCGGAGCCUGUCUGUCAUCUCAAGGCUCAAGAAGCAGAGACAAGAGUCAAGCUAGGGCGCGCCAGGGCCCUUGGUGAACCCUGCCUCAGGAUAUAAAGCCAAGAAAGACUGAAGAAGACACUAAUACUGUUCUCAACCUCUGGCCUCCACUUGGAUGGCCUAUGCUUAAGUGAACAUGACCCCUACACACACACACUCACAUACACAGCAAAACAACAACAAUAACAAGACAAACCUUAGAAACAAAAUGUACACUACUGGGAAAUAUAACCUGUUGAAUAAAUGAAUACCAGAUUCUGUGAGUAGACUGUCGCAAACACCCAGAAGAUGCUCCUUCCAAUCUUUUUAAACCUCUCCAAAGUAGGGGAUGCAAGAUCUUGUCACAGCUGUCUAUCUCAGACCACUAAUUGUGACAAUACACUGAGAUGCUAAAGCGGUGCUUCUCAGACUUUACCAGCACCUCAGGCUUCUGGGAAGAUGCCUAAUGGCCCAUCCUUGGAGGCUCAGAUGCAGCUGGACCACACACUGCUCACUUGAAGCCCUCUUCAUGGACUCUAAUGUUGCAUCAGAUGUAAAGCCGCUGGUCUGGAUCAGCUCCUGCCGGGCCAUGUAAUUUAACUUCCCAUUGCGUCCUUUGGGGGGUAGAAGCAGUGCUCCUUAUCACAUCCUGUGCUCGGUUACGGAGCUCACUGUCUGAGUUCACAAAGACCGUGUAAUGCAGAUGAGCGUACACACUUAAACAGCACCCAGUCAUUAAGGGUUUCUCACCCCGAAAAUGCUAAAUCUAUAGAAAGGAAGAGAGCUACAGCAGCGCCUCGAGGGAAAUACAGCUGCAGACCAUACAAGCUAGUCCAGGCUUUUGUAAAAGAAACUCAUUCUUUUCUGGCUUAACAUUUGUGUGGAAUGAUGACGUUCACAUCAAGGUCCAAGACUAUAAUGUUACACUGCAGGUUUACACUCCUAUUCUAGCAUCUUCUAGCUGUCUCACCUUCAGCACCUUACCAAAAUCUCAGUGGGCCCCUUGCUAUAAAUGGGGAAAAUGAUAACAUUGGCCCUGGGACUGGGUGAGGAGCUAAACCCUGGUACAGUGAAUCCAGUGCUAUUACUUUAGAUACAUCAAGUGCUUUUAUAAAGAUGUAUUUCUCUUUCCCCAUUAAGAAGAUACAAGUUUUGGCCUGAGGAGAUGGUUCAGUUAAGUAAAAUGCUUACCUUGUAUGAAUGAGGACCUAUUUUUGAUGCCUAGAGCCUACAAACAAACAAACAAACAAACAAACAAACACAAGACAAAAUAAAAAAUCCAGAAGGAUCCCUGGGGCUCAAUGUCCAAACAGAUGUGCCUCUUCAGCAAGCUUCUAGUCCCAGUGAGAAGUCCAGUUUCAAGAAACAAGAUGGAUGCUUCCUGGAGUGGCUUAUAAACCACUCCACACUGUGCACCUCUAUACACACACACAUGCACACACAGGAUCACAUACAUAUGCACAUAUAUACAUGCACAUGCACACAUACAAACAUACACACACAUGCACACACAUGAACAUGUACACACACGUGCACACACAGGAACACUCAUAUGCACAUAUAUACACACACAUGCACACACUCAAACAUAUAUACAUGCACACACAUAUUCACACACACACACACACACACACACACACACACACACACACACACACACACACACGUCCCAAGUAGGUUUCACUUCUGUAGAGAUAACCCAUUCCUAGAUACUGCGUAAGUCAAACAGCUCUACUGGAGGCCAGGUUUCGCCUUCUCCUUUGCUUUAAGCACUGAGAACAGGAAUCCGGGAGGAACAAAAAGCUGACAGUCACAGCGUGGUUUAUGGAGAGGAGCACAGACGCCAGCAAAUUAAGUAAGCACUUCCAUUUGUGCCCGAAACAGAAUCGUGCAAAUGAGUCAAGGUGCUGGGCAGGGCAAGAAUGCUGGAAGGGCCUGGAAGCAGCAGCAAUGUGACUAAGCCUGUCUGGGGUUUAUCCUACCACUGACAUCACAGCACACUGCAGUCCUGCUGGGGACCGCCUGCGUGGGGACAUGGCCUUGAAGCGCUGAGGAAGCUCACCUUCCUGCAUCCUUUUCUCUGAGACUGACUUACUACUUGCAGGUCUAAGAUUCAGGAGAGAAGCCCCACCUCAAAGCCCACUCAGAGCAAGACAGUAUCAUCAUGCUUCAUUUAGUAAAGGGGCAUUGUGGUUCUUUUCAAAGGGAAGCUCAUGGAGCUCCAAGCUGAACAGCCAACCCUUCCUUCCAAAGAGCUCCCAAAGAGCUCCGGCCCUCACCAAGUAACUCCUGAUACUGAGCAAGUAGUCUGUCCUGUCCACCUGACUGUGAGGGGGCCCACUAAGGCUCACACACACGUUAGGACUGAAGACUUCUCUUCACAAGGGAAAGACCUUAACGAGAAGGUCUAAGUGCAACGACUUAGGAUGAGCUAGAAAAGCUCUAUCGUAUUGGAUUCUUGCUUCAAGCUCCUAGUCUUUUCUUCCCUAUCUCUUCACUUGCCCUUUAUUUUCUUUUUCAUAGGCUGACUUCCACAUGGAGAUAUGGAACAAUAGGGAGACACUACACAAUGCCUUCAAAUGCCAUCAAGACCCCCCAGUACACAUUUCCUCAACUUCUCGCUCCUUCCUGACUACAGCUGUUGUGGUUGCUAACUUCAUAACUGCACAGAGGAGCUCCGGAGUCCCAUUUUGCUAAACCUAAUAAUGCACAAACGAAUGGCAGCCUCUUCUCUCCACUGGGAGAGGGAGAGAGGCCGAGGAGGAGCUUCCUCCUGAAGCAGUGUGGUGAGAAACAUCCUACUCUUGCCUUUGCGGCCCUGGGAUUCCAGCUGUGUCAUUUGGAACCUAAUUGUGAGUGGACCUUUAGGUGACCAUCUAUGUCUUCUGCAAUAGUCGGUUUGACGUGAUUUGGGGAGUCUUGGCCACACCUGUGCUUGCCUCAAGCUUUUGGGCUCUGCCCAGGCCUAUUAAUGUGCAGCAGGCAGGGCUACAGUCCUUCCUCUCGCUGCUUGUUCUGAAGCCUUCACCGGUCACUUUGUGUUUAUUUUUUAUCCUGGUUUCCACCUCGGCUCUUGGUCUGAUAUUUAACACUGUCCUCGCAUAUUAUUGUGUUUGAGGGUUUCAGCUGCACAUAUGUGCAUGCACCAUGUUCGUGUUUGGUUCCCAUGGAGGUUCGAUGAAGGCACAGGCAACUGGAGUUAGGGAAGCUUGUGAAUGACAAUGUGGGUGCUUGGAAUUGAACUCAGGUCCUCUCAAAAGCAGUAAGCACUCCUAACCACUGAGCCACCGUUCCAGUCCACGUUAUAAGCUCCUACAGGGCAGAGAAUAUAGAGAUUGCAGGUCUUUAAUGUUUCCAUGGACAAAGGUAAGGGCAUACUAAGUCUUAAACUUGUUAGAUGAAUUUUUGGAAAACAGUGUUUAAUCAGAAUAUUUAUAGAAACUUAAGUAUGUUACAAAUACACCACAAAUAGAAAAAUAAUAAUUUCCCUCAAAUAUUAUUUCAGCAUUUUUUACAACAACGGAUUUUUACUGCUUUGAAAAGGAAUAAGUGUUCCACAAAUAGUGUCAGAGCGCAUUAAAACACAGAGCGCCACUCUGCUUCCCACAGUAGCACCCAAGAACGUCACAGACAAACACAGAGAGAGAAUGUUACCCCAAACGGCCACGUACAAACAAGCUAAGGUUAUGGAUGUGGAGUUGGAGCUUAAAGGUCAAUGUCUGUGAAAGAAUAAGAUGUUUGCACCUAAAACCACGGGCCAUUUUUAGCCAACACAAAUCAGCAGUGGUUGCCUGGACCUAAGUGCUGUAGUAGCAGGAUGUGUGAAGUGGGGUGCCAGAGGUGAGGGACUGGGAGCCUGUGGCUCCGAGCUGCAGAGCUCGACUUUGGCUACUGUCUGGACUUCUGUCAGCUGAGCUGCCUCUAAGGUGCGACUCAAGCAGCAGGAGGGGUGGGGAGCCAAGGAAGGAGUAAAGGCCAACAAGGUGUGAGGAAGCUGGUGUCCAAGACUGAGGAGGAAGUGAGCCUUAGCUUCUGGGAUUAGGGAUUAGGAUCUCAAAAUGAGCCUUUACUUUAUUUGGUGGAAAAACUCAUUAAGUCUCCAUUAGAGUUCAGUUUCAUUUGGAGCCAGACAGAAAAAUAACAAUGCUUACUGGCUCUUAUUAAGUUUAACUAAUCAUUUAAAAAGAAAAACCUUCAAAUUUCCCACCAGUAAGUAUUUACAGGCCCUAUUAGUGGUCCUUAGAAAUUAAUCAAAUUAUUUUUAGGUUUUUCUGUUUGAGUUUUGUUUUUAAGAUUUUUUUCUUUAAUUUUAAAAUGAAAUGAGUUCACAGCUAUAACAGGAAAGACCUGGAAUACGCAUGGGACUGGGAGAGUGCAUCACUGGAUGGCUUCUGAGUGCAAAAAAGAAUGUUGCCACAAAACAGGUGUUGCACCAUCUGAAUGCUGGAAACAAGAACACAUAAUUUUGAAGGGGAAAAAAGUAUCUACACUUGGCUAGAAAGAGCAAAGUUGUGUUAAAAAUAGCUUCUUGUAAUAUUUUGGUCGGUUUCUGGUGUUCCUGCGUGUGUGUGUGGGGGGGUUUUUUUUAGCAAUCAACAUAAUUAUGCAGUGCAACAGGGUAGUGUUUAUGCACAUUCCCAUUUAUACAGUGUGCACAAACAGGGCUGAUGGACACAUGGGGCUGUGGCCACCUCCUUGACCUCUGCCUCCCAGGAAGCCCAUGUGCAGUCUUCAGGCUGGAGUACUGACCUCCAGUUCAGCUCUGUCUGUGCCCAGGGCCCAGUGCUCACUCUGUAAGGAAUACAGUCUGAGCCUCAGAAAACUGUUUCCAUGAAGGAAGUCAACAUGCUAAUGGUUACACACACACACACACACACACACACACACACACACUCUCUCUCUCUCUCUCUCUCUCUCACACACACACACACACAUUCUCUCUCACACACACACACAUUCUCUCUCUCUCUCUUUCUCUCUCUUUCUCUCACACACACACUCUGUCUCUCUGUCUCUUUCCCUUUGUCUGUCUGUCUCUCUUCCCAUUCCCUCCCCCACUCUCUCCAUGUGCUCAUGGCUGGCCAUUCUCUCUCUCUCUCUCUCUCUCUCUCUCUCUCUCUCUCUCUCUCUCUUUCUCUCACACACACACAGACACACACACACACACACACACACACACACACACACACACACACACACACAC